UACGGAGGGUGCAAGCGUUAUCCGGAUUCACUGGGUUUAAAGGGUGCGUAGGUGGGCAAGUAAGUCAGUGGUGAAAUCUCCGGGCUUAACCCGGAAACUGCCAUUGAUACUAUUUGUCUUGAAUACUGUGGAGGUCAGCGGAAUAUGUCAUGUAGCGGUGAAAUGCUUAGAUAUGACAUAGAACACCAAUUGCGAAGGCAGCUGGCUACACAAAUAUUGACACUGAGGCACGAAAGCGUGAGGAUCAAACAGG
RNAcentral lists this ribosomal RNA (253 nucleotides) under uncultured bacterium. RNAcentral describes it as "partial 16S ribosomal RNA". It matches the Rfam family "Bacterial small subunit ribosomal RNA", at positions 524 to 776 of the family's 1533-position model. The record is from RNAcentral.